AAGACGACCCAAAGUAAUUUGGCUCUGGAUUUGAAACAUUCCAACCUCUCCAGGUCACUGAAUGGUUAGUAUGGGGUGUGGUCCUUUGCAAGAACUUUCAUUCAGGAGGGUGAGAACUGACUAACAGGAUGUGGCUAGCUUUUAAGCAAACUGCAACAAAAGAAAGGGGCUAAUGCAGGAAGUCUGACUAGCCUGGCGCCCUUUCCAUGGUCUGCGGUGAUUCCGGAUGCUUAAACAGCAUCAAGGCAGGGUCUGAUGUGUGACUGCAGAUGGUGAGGCGAUGGAGCGAUAGCACCUGAUAAGAUGGUGUAAACCAUCUACACCCUACAUUCAUCUGAAGGUACUACCAGCAACAGGGACGGAAGCACAGCCCCACACUGUCCCUCAGCACAGCUCCCCUCAAGUCACUGUGUAAGACAUACAGAAUUUUGUAUUCAGGACCAGGCUUUCUUCGGCUUCACUGGCUGAGUGUCUAUGGUAUCCGUGUGGCACCAAGACCUGAUAUAACAAUGCUUCCAACAAGCAAUGUAAUGAUCACUGAUUCUUCCCAACCCAAGCUGUGUCAAGUUGACACAAAACCAGCCAGUACAGCCUUUGUCACCUGUGAGCCACCAUGUUACAGCUACCAGGAGACAGGGUACCAGUGAUCGGGAGCCUAUGACAAGUAAGUCCAUGGUAUCUGUACCUGACAAUGUCUCAAAGAACAAACCUGCCGCAUGAUGGAUCUCACGGCUGAAGGACACCCCACCCACCCCCAACAACCCCAGAUGACUGGACUUGCAUGCUUCUGUGAUUUCAAUGUGU
Mus musculus (house mouse) is the source of this 804-nucleotide long non-coding RNA. RefSeq annotates it as predicted gene, 34994. The record is from RefSeq and is a predicted model, not a curated record. The transcript has 4 exons. NCBI's taxonomy places the organism in Eukaryota, Metazoa, Chordata, Mammalia, Rodentia, Muridae.